GCGACUUAGACAAUAUCUCUAUGAUAUUACAUCUGGGAAGGCGUCUACUGCACUCAGCGACAUGGUGCUUCAGAAAAACAUUGAUGUCCUGUGGAGCCAAGCCAUCAUUUUAGAGAAUAACACUGGGAGAGACUAUAUUUGCGAAAAAUGGCACAUCUUUAAGGAAAGCUUUAACGCGGACAUUAUUAAUAUUAAAGAUAUGGACAAUCUACCAGCGGCUUGGGAGUUCCUUAUCAAAUACAUAAAGGGGUGGCUGAACUCAUAUCUUGUAUGCGCACGUCGCGGCGUCCUGUCGCAUAUUCUUGCG
Molecule: long non-coding RNA, 307 nt
Filed under: Androctonus crassicauda
Lineage: Eukaryota; Metazoa; Arthropoda; Arachnida; Scorpiones; Buthidae
Source: RNAcentral